CGAAGGAACGCGGUACAAGGGAAGCCUCUCGUCAGUCAAGGUAUGCGCAAGUUUCUUCUUUGAAUCGUGCUGCUGCUAUCCGUUGGUUCAAAUCUUGGUGCAUAAUACUAACUGCUUACCAGAUUGUGUGAUUGAAUUGCAGAUUGUGUGAUUGAACAGAUAAAAACAUGUUUACCAUCUAUAAUCCUCACUUUCUCCCUCACGCAGUCACCCCGUCAUUAAAAAUCUAGUGAAGUGUCUUCUUGACGCAUAAUAACUUGAGCUUACCAGAGUUGUGCACCAUAACAAAGGGUACAUUACUGCAUUAUUAGUAGGACACACAAAUCAUGGAUUCGUUUCAGUGAAGAUACAUAUCAUGGUACUCAUGGAUAAUAACUUGAAUUUGGUGGAGAUGUGCACAAAUGCACUCUUUGUGAAGUCAGCUUAUGCUAGUACAACUGUACAAGUGUACAACCGAACCCAGGAUGAACGCAUUCUUAAUCGAGCCCUAAACGCAAUGGGGGUGAAAAGCUGUGCACAUGUGCAGUAAUUAUGAUAGCUAGAGAUUUGACUUAAGCCAACUCAAAAUAUUCGCAGCAGAUUCUGGAGAAACUGUUGAUGCUCCAUAUACAGCGUCACUCCAACUAUCCAACUCAUGAGCCCGCUGAAAUUGUCUGUGUCACGGCAUGUUGAGGUCAAUUGGCCUUUGGUGCCUAUGCGAGCAACCAACGUUGCAGCCAAUGCUGAUGCCGAGGCUGAGCGUCAAAUCCACCUCCCUGCUUCUUUGCUGGCUUUUAGUUACAUACCUUCCCCCCUCCUGCUUCUGUUUACAUGCAAGACAUCAACUCCGCGGUGAAACUCGGUGUUAUGAUUAAUUGCGAUGGAUCAAUCCACUUGCCUGCUCCUUCCUGGAGACCAUUUCCAUCAAGUCCCUCUCCUCAAGCGUUGCUUUCCCCUGCAAGCAUGCAUCAGGAUCGUCAUGAGCGAGCCUGACAGCAAAAUGUGAUUUACAGAGUCAGUUCAUUCAUUUUUCUUUUGCGGAACCGUACAGAGUUAGUUGUUCCAUCUUUGUGUGUGUGUAGUGUCCACUGCUUUCUUGCUUUUGCAUUGCAGAGUCACAUGCCAGUAGAACAGCAGGACGUGAACACAUCACACAUGAAAAAUAAGCGCACAUGCAGAAAUAUCUCGAUAUCGCAUACACUGGAUAAAUGCAUUUCCCUGAUUGAGUUGUAUCCAUUAUGCAGAACUGAAACCUAGUAGAUGCUAGCCAAUGCAGCUGCUCGUUUAUAGUGUGAAUUGGAUGAUUUUUAUUUAUUUUUUUGAAACGGAUGGAGACAUGCCUCUGCUGAUUCUUUCAUAGAGCUGGAUGGAGACAUGUGUUGGAUGUGGUAAACCUCGAAAGUACUAAAAAAUAGUUUUAAGCUCUGUGUACUUCAGAUAAAAUAGGACUUCAAAUAAAUCUUGUUGGUAUGUUGAGACUCACCUUCUCGUGUAGUGUGGCGAUCGAAUAGGCUUCCAACUGAUUCCAUGCAGGAGAAAGUGUGUUGAAUUUAAAAAUGAAUCCCGGGCCAUAUCAAACUGAAAUAUCUUAAAACGCCAAAAGAUAGAAGCUAUAUAAAUCGAAAUUACUAGUAAUGCAACAAGUUGAGUUAUACAUUGGCACAGUAAGGCAAAGGACUAGUCAUCUGCCUGCCAUGACUAGGAAUUCAGGUGGUGGAACCUUAAUUCAGUCUUCAUCCUAAUAUACAUCACAGAUUCACAUCUAUGCCAUCAACCAACAGUAGAAAGUUAGUUUGGCACUACUCCUUCCUUUCACCAUAAGACAGGUAAAUUCAUCAUGAAUCACUGACAGAGCCAGAUUUAGAAGGUCAAACAUUAAAAAAAUGACAACUCUUGGAUUUAUUUUUUCUAUUAUUUCUUAUCUACAUCAGGGAUUUUCCCAAAACAUUGUGAGAUUGCUCGAACUGUUUGACCAAUAUCUCUAUCAGGUGCUGUGAAGAGCAUGCCCUCUUGUGAAAAAUCAGUUGUUGUAGUCUUCUGGACUGUCUAGUUUUUGUGGUAAAGCAAGAUUAGGGCGUGAGUAGUGUUAAACUUUCAUACCAACUAGUGACUGCCAUGUUGUACUAAUGGGACGAUUCCCUCUUUGACGUCAGAUCUGCAAAUACCAUGUGUUGUCCUAGGUGGUCUGGUUACAACAAAUCCGAUAGUCACACAAGUAUCAGUGCAACUGAUAAAUUGUAGACUCGGAUACGAAAAUAAAUGCUUUGGGUUUCUGUCUGAGCAUGAGAAUCCUGGCACGAGUGUUACAGUAUUAAUAGGCAAGAGAGAAUGUAAACUGUAUAAACAUCUCUAUGUAGUAUGAUUCUCAGUUUCACAUUUUGUUAUGUGGAGUGUCAUUCCCAUUUUCCCCAAAAAAAUUAUCAAAGGUAGGUUAAAUUGACAUGGUGACAGCAAAAAUCAAAAUCUCAAACUUGGAUAGACAUCCCAGUUCUUCUCCAGUAAAGAACCUUGCUGCGUUACUUCUGCAGACCCCGAGGUACCUUGAUACUUUACACGAAAAGGUCUUGAAUUGGAAUAUAAACCCCAAAUUCUGCGACGAAGUUUUCCAAAAUAUAUUUGGACUAGGAAACUAAUAUACAUAACAAACAUGCCUUACUGAAACAUACCUUCCUGGUCUUUGCAUUUCUUAGUGCAUAUUCCAGUUUUCUUUCAAUUUGUGUAAGCUGUUCGAUGGUCAACUGGGAUAUGCUUGAUUCAUCAAUUGUCCUGCUGAUAAUAUAUAUAUUAAUAACCUCUUGGAACUAUUUGUAGCUGCAAUUUCUACUUGCAGAAGCAAUUUUGAGAUCUUACACGUCAUAAAUGUUUGGCUUUCUAUCUGUUGUUACUAGGGGAACUUGAAAAUCCUUGCUUCUCUGGAAAAUGAAAUGGUCAUUAGCAGCACCGAGAGUAUUCUCAAAGCAAAUGGGCAUAAAUGUGCAUAAUGUCUCAUUUAUUUAACACCUCACAGCAUAAUUCCUUUUGUAUUUUCCAGUUUUGCGCACUCAUAUUUUGUAACAUUUCCAUAGCAUGAUUUAUGCUCUUUUUUUAUCAGAAAUAAAAAAUAGUUACUGCUGUAGGAAGAGUAUAUAGAUCUGCUCAUAGAAAGGUAUCUGCAGAAGAGCACCAAAACUGAUUUUUGAUAUCCAAUAAAAGGUAAAGAUAGACACUCUUGAUAGUGUUUUAAUGAUAUUGAUUCUGUCCUUCAUCACCUCUUUAAGAAGCCUCCUUCCAUGUGCUCUUUUUUGUGCUUCUGGGAAAUUCUGAUAACGUUUGAUGAUAGUCUCCAUACUGCAGUGCAACAAAGGUUUGUGAAUGCAUAAUUAUUUUGUGGAACAAAGUAUAUCAAUUCGAUAUUUAAGAGAAAAGAGCAUCAAAGAUAUAAUGCUGCAAAAUGUAACAAGUAUUGCUACAAUAGUUCAGAGAACUACUUGGACAAAAAUAAUCCCCGCUGAGUUUUCUGGAAACAAGCUGGGUACUGAUGGUAUGCCCGUGCAUUUUCUGGCCAUCCUGGCUACUCUCAACAUCAGCCACCAACAGAUGGCAGCGCGACUGGAUCUGGUUCGGUGAGCAGCAAUGGAGCACCUAUGAUUUAUGGCAUGGAGUGGUGGCACGACGCAUUGGCGCAGCGGAUGACGGCGCUCAGGCAAGCGAUUGAGCGCAUGGUGGAUGAUGUCAAUCCUCUUGCGGGUCUUUUGCUUGUUAAAGGGUUGUAGAAGUCUUCUCAAGCGUGUGGCGGCGGUAGACCCCGACAACAGCAUGAAGGAUCAAUGUUCCCUGCUGAAGACGUCCUUUUUGUAGUUCAACGGCAAGAUACACGUAGGAGUAUGGUAGGAGUAUGAUAUCUGAGUGUUUGCUGAAAAUGGAGUGGAAACUUUCCGCUUUUCCGUAGGAAAAAUGAAAACGGAGAGGAAAUAUGAAAUCGAAAAUGGAAAUUUGCAAAAUGGAAAUGGAAACAGAAUUUUUAAUGCGAAAACGGAAACAAAAACGGAAGAGUGUUUUCCGGUGGAACAUAUGUGGAAAUGGAACUUUCCGUUUCCGUGAAUAUGGACCCCCCCCCAUUUUUACUAUAGGUCUACGGCUGCUUUGUAACCCAACCGUCAAAUAACAUAUAAUGACAUGAUGAGCAUAAUUGAUCAUUUGAGGCCCAACUUAUACUAUCAUAUAUGUAUUCAGUUAGACCCUAUACACAAUUGUCAUGUACUAAUACAAUACUAGGAUAUGUUGCUAACAUAAUCAAAUUAUUUUGUAGACAUGUUAGCAAUUUAUUAAUUUUUGUUGUUGUCUGUAUUACUCUGUGAUUCAAGGGUUUUAAAGUUUCGGUCAAUGCUCACUUCUAUUUCUGUAUCCGUUUUGUAUUCGCUCUGUGUCUGUUUCCGAUAGUAUCUGUUUCCGUAUUCAUUUUCAGGGUUUUUUGUAUUCGUUUUUACUUCUGUAAAACAAUAUGAAAACAAAUGUAAUAGCACUCAGUUCCGUCCGUUUUCGCUCCGUUUUCAUCCCUAGAUACACGCAUUUGGCGAGACAUUCAUCUCAGUUAUACGAGUUAAUAUGGAUCACGGUAGCAGACAUUCAUCUCAGUUAUACGAGUUAAUAUGGAUCAGGUAGCGAUGAUGCACAUAGAAGGCAAUGCAGUGCGUUGGUUCCGGGCAUACAAACCUUGCCAUGAUGUGUAUUUUGCCCCCCAUUCAUGACUACAGUGCAGGCAAAGUUCGGUGCUGCAGACCAUCACCAAUUCAUGUAUGUGUUAUUAUUUGUGCAACAAAAGAGUACCGAGCACAAUUUGAAGAACCCUUGUAAAAGAUCGCAAGCCAUAGCUUGCAUUAUGAGAAACUGUUUUCAAACAGUUCGUCAAAGGACUGAGAAAUCAGAGGGGAUGUCACCUGCUUCACCUAAAACUGUGGACAGGGCGACAUUGAUAGCCACUCCAAAAUUGUGGACAACAGAUAUUUAUAGCCACUCUUCAGCAAGAUGUAGCCAAAUAGGUGAAACAUUGGCGUCCUUAGUAUGAUGCAAGCGUUAUUAAAAGUUUUAUGCACCGACCAGUAGAACCAACAAUCUAAAAUGGUGGAGAAUGUUAGGCAAUCCACUCAACACUUUCUCAUGUAUGGCUUGAUAAGGCCUAAACAUGGACAUGAAGAGGCAAACAAGCUGCGACAGCACGGACAUAAACCCAGGAUCUCUUAGUUUUGAUACCAUAUUAAGUUUUAUGCAUCAAGCAUAAACCUAGGAUCUCUUAGUUUUGAUAGUAGAACCCAAAAUUGAGACAGGUGGAAAAGAUUGGGCAAUCCACAUAUACGUCAACACCCUCUUUCUUGUUUGGCUCGAUAAGGUCUAAACAUGGACAAAAAUAAACCUAGGCAUGGGCAACCAGGCCCGACGGGCCAAACCUGAAGCCUGAUAGUCUAGCUACGCCCGUGCUCAAGAUUGGCCCGAAUCAAAAACAUGAAAAAGCUUUAAAUACCUUUGAAAUAGGGUUUUAAUAGAAAUAUAGCUAUAAUAUUUUAUUUAUAUAUAUCCCAAAAAUAAUUAUAAUGAUAUUACUAAAACAAAAUGUGCAUCUUUUAAUUGAAGCCUGACCCGAGGAAUGCCCAGAUAUAGACAGAAAAUGGACAAGCAAUUUUCUUAUUUAAAUUGGACUACUUUACGUCUUAAAGUCAAGACCUCUUGACUCGGAUAUCAUAUUAACUAUACUAUCAAAACUCUAAACUCAGUGAAAAGGUUUGACAAUCACAUGUAUUUCAGCAUCCCAUCUCACAUGUGACUCAGUAAAGCCUAAAGGUAGAUAGAAAUGGAACAAGCAUGUGAAAGCGGGGGCUUGGACACAAGACCUCUUGGUUUUGAUAUCAUAUUAAGGUUUAUGCACCAAAGAACCAAAAGUUUGAACUAAUGUAGAAGGUUGGACAUUUGCAUGUACUUCGAGACCCCCUCUCACACAUGGACCGACAAGGCCCAAAUGGACUGAAGAGAGCAAAAAUCUUUUAUUUGAAUUAUGGAAUCCAAGACUUGAACCAAAGAUCUCUUGGAUGUAAUAUCAUAUUAAGCUUCAUGCACUAACCAAUCUAAGCAAAUGUCUGAAUUGGUGGAGAAGGUUUGGUAAUCCACAAUACAACUCCCGUCUUGUGACUCAAUAAUGUCUAAAUAUGGAUAACAAGAGGGCAAGAAAUUUUAAUUAACAUUGUGAAAGUCGACACUUGAACCCAAGAACUCUUAGAUCUGAUAUUAUAUAAAGUUUGAUGCACCAACCGGUAGAAACCUAAGUCCAAAUGAUGGAGAAGGUUGGUCAAUCCACAAAUACUUCAGUAGAAGACAUGGAGAUUUUUGAAAAGGACAAUAGUUCAUAUAUUUUCACCGUGCUAAUUGUCUCUACUAAGAAUAGGUAUGAUCCCCAACAUCAAUGUGCCUCAACGCAUGCAUACAGUGAGAAUCAGAAAUUGGCACAAAGAAUUAUCUUCAACUUUAUUGAAUGAGGGAGCCUUGGCUACCAUAGAACAAUUCACAUUCUCAUUGAAUGCUUUAUCUAGAACUAAUGACCCUGAAACUAUCUGUCUUCGUGCUCUUGUAGGGGAUACUAUGUUAAUAAUGUUGGUUGAUUUUGCUAGUGGCCACUAUUUCUUAGAUGCCAGGUUUCUACAACUGCUAAGGUUUGGUGGCGAAUGGUGGUGAGCUACAAUGUUUUCCGAAAGUGCCAAAAUUGGAAUGUCGCAGACAAGGGCAUUCUUUCACAACCGUGAUGCAUGUGCGCGAGCUAGGGGGCUUAUGGGAUCAUUUUGGUUGUCAGACUAGUUGAAAUAGAGGUGAGUAGAAUCUUGUAAUUGGAUAGAUUUAGGGGUGUAUUUGCCAUGAAAGAUCCGUCAACUUGAUUGUUUGCAUUGUAUUCCUAUUUUAUUGCAGCGAAAGACAAGUGAUUGUAUUUAUGCAUGCCUUACAAAUGAACUUUCAACAAUGCAAUGAGCCAAAACGUGUACAUGCGUGAUGAACAAAUAACACCAUGUAUUAUACAAUAUCCUACUCCUACCCGACAAUAUGCAUUAGCUUAGUCGCCCAUGUAAAACGGUUGAAACCCCAAUCACAAGGAAGAAGCUAGUUGGAGAUGAUUGCCCACCUAAACAGACCAAUCUAGGACAAGUCAAAGCACAUGGGAGACAUGGAUGACACUUCAACUAAAAAAUACCCCGAACACAUGGAUGAAUCUGCCGUGUGGUAUGAGGUGGCGCAAGAAGCUAAGAACAAUGAAGCGUGAAGCCGAGGCGUGAUGGGGUAUAGUCAAUCCCAGUGACCUGGCACUCAACACAACAAGGAACAAUGGUGCUUGGGUCCUGAGGUUCUCGAUUGAUUGAAGUCUUAGGCCGUAGGGCCCUAGUGAUAGGUCUCAGAAAUGUUGGGACAAAAGCAACACGAAGGCUAGCGUGGCGCAUGUUUGAGGCCCAUGACAGUACAAUAUCUCUAGGGGUGUAAUGACUAAAUAACAAUGAAUAUGCUGCUAGCGAUAGGACUGGUGCAUGCCCCUAAAAUAUCUCUUGUAGUGUAAGCCUAGUAUUAAGGAAUACCAAGGAAUAUGGUACUAAGCAUUGGAAGGAAACGACUAAAUUGCCUUCUAUUGAAUAAUGUGACCAGUCAAGACCUAAACUAUCUAUAGGACUAAUAUUUGAUCUUGGUCUCUCCUCGUUUGUAAAGAUAAAGUGUCGCCUUCUUCAAGACACAUAAUAUAGGCUACUCACAUGAACCCUAAAACUUACUAAAUGUUAAAUAACCCUCGAGCGCACCAAAGCUUUAUCCACGGGGCAUAUAUAUGCAAUCUAGAACUCAACCUGGCAUGUCAUAUAUAGCUUGUGAAUGUAGCAGGAGUGAUCCAUAUCAAAAUUUAGUAACUUCUCACCGACUACACUACCACUCAGAGCUACCUUGCAGCGCUAAGUGAACCAUUCCUCUCACAAUUGGCUCGGUAAGACCUAAACAUGGACAAAAAGAGGGCAAUCAAACUUUAACUUAAGUUACGAAAGUCGAGACUUCAACCCAAUACUCUUGGCCCUACUACCAUACUAAGUUUCAGUUAGUUGGAAAACUUAUUGUUGACCCCGCAAAAAGUCUUAAAGUGCACAACAAGAUUAAGUAUAACUUUCUAAGUUUUUUAGUUGUGCAACUCCACAUUGAGCCAUAGAAACACCCAUACUAUUAGGAGGGGUCCUUGCCCUUGAAAGAUGUCUCAAACACAUUGCCAAAAUAAUAAAAUAUUUCCAUUCGAAGUCUCUCAUUUCCCAAAUUUCAACAUGCCCACAACUACCGGACCAGUCGGCCAAUACCUCUAAAUUGUUUUUGACAUGAGAGUUGGUUAAAAUUCUCUUAGUUGUGGAUAUCAAAUUGUUGAGUUGGCUCCCUGAACCAAUGGAUUUAGUGAUGAAAUCAGGGGGUUAUUUGUUAGGUUUGGAACCUCCAGGUGGAGCGUUUCCAGUACUUCCAAGUCUAUUAGAGUUUUCUCAGCAAGAGUAGUUUUUAUAUAGGUUAGGAACUUUUGUGUGGAGUUGGUCAAAAACCUCUUAGCUAGGGACUUAGCCAUUUCUGUUAAGUCCAUUUUCUGAUGGUCCUCUAUUAGGUCUAUAACUUUCAAGUGGAGUUAGUCCAUAAUUUUCAAUACUUCUAUCUCAACGAUGGACAAUAUGUGCAACUGCCUAAGACCCUCGAGCAUUGAUGCACGACACCUUCAAAGUGACCAUGGUUUCCAAGGUGUAUAUGGAUGAACAAGUACCUCAGAGUACUUGUGCUAACCUCCGGGAACGUGGGUUUCCUAUUUGCUUCAAUUCUCGCCCCCACCAAUUUUUUGUAACAAAUUUCAUCUCCUAUUCAAUCGCUCUAGUCAAUAUACUAGGUAUUUCACUCACAAUAAAAGGUUAAAGGACCAACCAUACCACUGGGGAGAUCUAGGAGUCCAAUGAUCAUGAUUUAAGUGUGGAAAUCACAAAAGAUGACUCGAUAAAACAAGUAUCAACCAACAAAUAACGUUGGUAGUGUAGUGAAAAGGGAGAGAUCUUAGCGGGAGAUGGGAAGGAGCCUUUGGAGUAGAUGUGUUGGAGGGGUCCCCAUGAGAAACUGGAACUUGUGAGUGACAAGUAUUUGGAGGUGGUGUGGCAAUAGAGUGAAGAAUCAAGAAUAUCUUGAGAAUGUUGUGGUGGUGCAGUUGUGAUAAGGUUAGAAGUAUGCGAUUAAUUGUGGGUAACAUCACAAAGAUUUUGCAACCUACAAACAGAAGGACCUCAACAACAAUAUCCCAUGUUCUUGGUAUUUUGUACUAGAACUAGCUCGGCCAAUUGAGUAGUCGACUCUAUGUGCGCACAAGGUCAAUGAGAUCAUACGAAGCAUAUUCAAAAACCUAAGGCAACCUUACUGAAUUUUUUAUCCGUAAUACGAUUGAUCAAGUGUCGCAUUCCAUUUCCCAAGACCCCAAAAGGUCAAAUGUUGAUUAAAUACGCAUAACUAGGAUUUAAGAUUUCACCCGCAAAAAGAACUAGGAUAUAGGAUUAAAGAGCAAUGAAGAAGCGUAACAUAGUUCAAGGCUUCUCCUAGGUGUUUCUCAUAUUCUAUCCUAUAGUAAAAACAAGAACCUAUAGAAAACGAUAAUUCAAUGUAGUGUAAUAUCCCUGUUAUAUAAGUUCUUGGUUUUCAUAUUGUUCCUAUCUAUGCAUGUAUACAUAUAGACCUUUCGCCAGAUGGGGAUACAAGUUGUUAUUUCUCUAACAUGGUAUCAAAGACUAGGUUUCCAUUUUCACACAAUCAAGUUGUUCUAUGUUUGACUAUGAUUUUUUUCCAGGGAACGAUCCUGAUUUUCCUUCGUUGUCAUGCCUCUAAUUAUUCCACCAUGCUACUCCUUUGACAGUCCCGUCUUUAGAUACCACAACCACCUUUUCACACCAACAUUGACAGAAGCCCCUGCAAUUUCGUCCAUUCUAGGCGCUCCAAUCCCUAUCGAGCUUGUGUUUCAACACCUUGAUCAGGUCAACUUGGGGCACAUCUUAUGCUCAACACCUCGAUCAUGCUAAGCUAGAGCAUGGGGAGCCACCGCUUGGAUCGGGUCGAGCUAUGAUGUGACCGCACCUACCGUAUCACGUGUGGCCGACCACAUCGCACACACUUAACUUGUGUACCUCUUCUAUGCAUGCACGUUAUUAAUGCUUGACCCUAUUUCGAUCAAUCUAUAGUGUUUGUUCCAUUGUCGAUUCCAAUUGGUAGAUUGAUCGAGCCCGAUUACAUCUUGUCAAAAAGAGUAAAACUAGGCACAAUGUCUUCACCAUCGGGCUUUUUUUCCAUCCCUUGCCGCCCGGUAAAUUUUUAUGACUUUAGUUACAAUAACUUCAUCGUCUACAUGUGUGGUCUUCGUCUCUAGGUGUCCUCUCCGGCGAGGUUUCAUGCUCGGUGUGCCAUGUUGCCCUUGUGGAGCCCUCACCAAUGGUACCUCCAGCUCCUAUCGUGGUUGCUAAUCAUGUUGUUGUUGAAACUGCUAAGAUUGUUGAUGAUGUUGCUAUUGGCGCAUAUGGUUAGAAGGUCUCUAAGUACCUAGUGGAUAUAUACUCUUAUUGUGAUGAGUUUAUCGCUUAUACUAAGUGGCUUGAUGAUCAUGCAAGGUCCGCGGCUAUCCUCUGCACCAGUGUCUUGUCUCAUUUUUCUUUGGAGGUUGUCGGUUUCUCAAAAGACUUCCAAAUGUGAACUCACCUUCGUCAUCAUUAUCUUCAUCAAAUGAUGUUAUUUUGCUUGUCUAAAAUUCGUCAGGAGCAUGACUCCAGCGGGGUGAUCCACUAUCAACGAGCUCUAUGCUCAGAGUACUGUCAUCAAGCGUCAACUGGAUUUUAUCCGAACCAUUGGGUGGGGCUCUACGUGUCUUAAUUACUAGGCUAUUCGUGAUGACUUCAACGUGUUUACGAUUCCUUGAAGCGGCUUCGUAAGGAUUUUGAGCCGCGACGUGCCCAACUCUUCAUGCAUGUGCCUUGUCUCUUUUCUCGGGGCACUCAUUGAGAAUGUGUCGUGGGGGCCGUGUGGGUGGUGAUAGUCUGUCGAAGCUUCCCUCUGUGUUUGCUGCUCAUUUGCCUACUACAACACUUGUUGCCUCGGCUAUAAUCCACUUUGAAGCCCCAACUCUUCUACCAGUUCCCACGGGAAGUGGAUAUCAGCCUUCUCCUGGCGGUGCUCGUCCUCACCGCACCUACUGCAACAAGGAUGGUAACGCUAGGUCAACCUGCUUCAAGUAGAAGCAACACCUUUCACGUGGCUCUUCUACAUGGGUUAGUGCAUCUACCUCAACCUCUUUACUUGUGUCCUUGAUUGAGCAAGAUAUUGCGCGACUUAAGUAUGUUUUAGUUCUUCAUCCGUAAAUUUUGUUGCCCACCGUUCAGGCACUAGGGGACCACCUUCUACGCAAACUAGAUGAUACCCCGCGUGUUGCUACAGGAAUCCGUUGCAAUAAAUUUCAAUGAGAUUGAAUUGUGUGGAAUAUAAAUAUUUAUAUUAAUAAUGAUUGACCAAAUUAAAAAUACAUAUGACUUAUUAUAUUUGAUUAUGUACAGUUGUAAAAUAUUCAUUAAAUAUAAGUAGAGUAAUAGAAUGAAAAUACUUUCUCAUGCAUGGUUCCAUCUGGUGGUGGGUCUUUGCCUAUGCAUGGUUGCACGUUCAGGUGGGCCUUAUCCUAUCUGUAAUUGUAUGAUGAUGUGUCAUGCUUGCAUGUUGAGAUAGAUAAGUUAGUGAGGAUGACUCUCUCAGGUCUAUAGGAUAUAGAUAGGUAUGCCCACAUGGAUUCUUGAUUCUAGAACAUCUUUCCAUAUAAUGUCUGAUUUGUCUGCUCUCCCAUUUAUUAUAUUUCUAGACUAUCCUAUUCAUGUUCUUGCUAUUAGGGGUACUUCUCUUCCCAUUGCUAGUCGUACCACUUCAUAUUUUCAUGUUUCUCAUUUUUUAGAUGCAAUUAGCUAGAUUGUUGACUCUAUUUCUCACAUCAUUAUUGACAUUUAUUUUUAUUGUGUUUAAGAUCGUCACGCAAGAGCUCUCGUUGGGGUUGGACCAUGGUGUGCCUGACAUAUCCUUUGUGAGCUUAACUGACUUCAUCUUCCAGUGUCCCACCACCGCCAACCUGUUUGCCCCACCUCCUUGUCUAUCGCCUCUUUUCAAAAGAGGCAUCAUCGUAUUGGUCAUUUGCAGGAUCUCAUAUGUCGACUUAAGUUUCAUCAUGGUCUUCUAUGACCUGUCUCGGGAAGAGUACUUUUGGAUUAUUGCGGUUGUAAGCUUGUUAAAUGUAAGAGCAUAUUGUUCCCUCUUUGAGGUUUCGGAGUAUUGACGACAAAGGUGGUUAAAAGACUAAUGUGUCUGUGUGUAUACACAUUUGAAAGUCCCUGAAGAUUUGGUUUAAAGGAAACGUGAAGACAUUGGUG
RNAcentral lists this long non-coding RNA (12419 nucleotides) under Hordeum vulgare. RNAcentral's name for it is "long non-coding RNA (HVUL_LNC004672)". Lineage: Eukaryota; Viridiplantae; Streptophyta; Magnoliopsida; Poales; Poaceae. The record is from RNAcentral.